UCGGUCCUACGGGGGGCAGCAGUGGGGAAUAUUGGGCAAUGGGCGCAAGCCUGACCCAGCAACGCCGCGUGAAGGAAGAAGGCUUUCGGGUUGUAAACUUCUUUUCUAAGGGACGAAGAAAGUGACGGUACCUUAGGAAUAAGCUCCGGCUAACUACGUGCCAGCAGCCGCGGUAAUACGUAGGGAGCGAGCGUUGACCGGAUUUACUGGGUGUAAAGGGUGCGUAGGCGGCUUGGCAAGUCAGUAGUGAAAUCCAUGGGCUUAACCCAUGAACUGCUAUUGAAACUGUCGAGCUUGAGUGAAGU
This 305-nucleotide ribosomal RNA is filed under the name uncultured bacterium. RNAcentral's name for it is "bacterial SSU rRNA". It matches the Rfam family "Bacterial small subunit ribosomal RNA", at positions 333 to 652 of the family's 1533-position model. The record is from RNAcentral.